CAGUAAGUAGUUUAAUUAAAACAUAGGCUUUGGAAGCUUAAAAUAAGUUUUUUACUUUUUACUGA
Molecule: transfer RNA, 65 nt
Filed under: Microdeuterus sp. HEM078
Lineage: Eukaryota; Metazoa; Arthropoda; Insecta; Hemiptera; Acanthosomatidae
Description: tRNA-Pro
Rfam family: tRNA
About the family: Transfer RNA (tRNA) molecules are approximately 80 nucleotides in length. Their secondary structure includes four short double-helical elements and three loops (D, anti-codon, and T loops).
Source: RNAcentral